GAGUUUGAUUAUGGCUCAGGACGAACGCUGGCGGCGUGCCUAAUACAUGCAAGUAGAACGCUGAAGGAAUAGCUUGCUAUUCUGGAAGAGUUGCGAACGGGUGAGUAACGCGUAGGUAACCUACCUCAUAGCGGGGGAUAACUAUUGGAAACGAUAGCUAAUACCGCAUAAGAAUACUUAUUGCAUGAUAAGUAUUUAAAAGGAACAACUGUUUCACUGUGAGAUGGACCUGCGUUGUAUUAGCUAGUUGGUAAGGUAACGGCUUACCAAGGCGACGAUACAUAGCCGACCUGAGAGGGUGAUCGGCCACACUGGGACUGAGACACGGCCCAGACUCCUACGGGAGGCAGCAGUAGGGAAUCUUCGGCAAUGGGGGCAACCCUGACCGAGCAACGCCGCGUGAGUGAAGAAGGUUUUCGGAUCGUAAAGCUCUGUUGUCAGCCAAGAAUGUAUGUGAGAGUGGAAAGUUCACAUAG
Molecule: ribosomal RNA, 476 nt
Filed under: Streptococcus sp. canine oral taxon 279
Lineage: Bacteria; Bacillati; Bacillota; Bacilli; Lactobacillales; Streptococcaceae
Description: bacterial SSU rRNA
Rfam family: Bacterial small subunit ribosomal RNA
Source: RNAcentral